AGAGGGUGCGAGCGUUAAUCGGAAUUACUGGGCGUAAAGCGUGCGUAGACGGUUAUUUAAGUCGGGUGUGAAAGCCCCGGGCUCAACCUGGGAAUUGCAUUCGAGACUGAAUAGCUAGGGUACGGUAGAGGGAAGCGGAAUUUCCGGUGUAGCGGUGAAAUGCGUAGAUAUCGGAAGGAACAUCAGUGGCGAAAGCGGCUUCCUGGACCAGUACCGACGUUCAGGCACGAAAGCGUGGGGAGCAAACAGGAUUAGAUACCCUGGUAGUCCACGCCAUAAACGAUGAGGACUAGACGUUGGAGGGUUAAGCCUUUCAGUGUCGUAGCUAACGCGCUAAGUCCUCCGCCUGGGGAGUACGGCCGCAAGGUUG
This 370-nucleotide ribosomal RNA is filed under the name uncultured bacterium. RNAcentral describes it as "bacterial SSU rRNA". It matches the Rfam family "Bacterial small subunit ribosomal RNA", at positions 527 to 896 of the family's 1533-position model. The record is from RNAcentral. RNAcentral also lists the same sequence under 1 other name.